This 425-nucleotide ribosomal RNA is filed under the name uncultured bacterium. Its description in RNAcentral is "partial 16S ribosomal RNA". It matches the Rfam family "Bacterial small subunit ribosomal RNA", at positions 354 to 796 of the family's 1533-position model. The record is from RNAcentral.
GUGGGGAAUCUUGCGCAAUGGGCGAAAGCCUGACGCAGCCAUGCCGCGUGAAUGAUGAAGGUCUUAGGAUUGUAAAAUUCUUUCACCGGGGACGAUAAUGACGGUACCCGGAGAAGAAGCUCCGGCUAACUUCGUGCCAGCAGCCGCGGUAAUACGAAGGGGGCUAGCGUUGCUCGGAAUUACUGGGCGUAAAGGGCGCGUAGGCGGACAGCUUAGUCAGAGGUGAAAGCCCAGGGCUCAACCUUGGAAUUGCCUUUGAUACUGGCUGUCUUGAGUUUGGGAGAGGUGAGUGGAACUCCGAGUGUAGCGGUGAAAUUCGUAGAUAUUCGGAAGAACACCAGUGGCGAAGGCGACUCACUGGCCCAAUACUGACGCUGAGGCGCGAAAGCGUGGGGAGCAAACAGGAUUAGAAACCCCGGUAGUCC